Molecule: ribosomal RNA, 512 nt
Filed under: uncultured bacterium
Lineage: Bacteria
Description: bacterial SSU rRNA
Rfam family: Bacterial small subunit ribosomal RNA
Source: RNAcentral
GACGAACGCUGGCGGUGUGCUUAACACAUGCAAGUGGUGCGACGAACCUGGCUUCGGCCAGGGGCAAAGCCGCGAACGGGUGAGUAACACGUGGGUAAUCUGCCCCGAUGACUGGGACAACCCGAGGAAACUCGGGCUAAUACCGGAUGUGGUGCCUGGACAUAAGUCUGGUCACUAAAGGUAGCUUCGGCUUCCGCAUUGGGAGGGGCCCGCGGCCCAUUAGCUUGUUGGUGGGGUCAAGGCCUACCAAGGCAACGAUGGGUAGCUGGUCUGAGAGGACGAUCAGCCACACUGGGACUGAGACACGGCCCAGACUCCUACGGGAGGCAGCAGUGGGGAAUCUUGCGCAAUGCGCGAAAGCGUGACGCAGCAACACCGCGUGAGGGAAGACGGCCUUAGGGUUGUAAACCUCUUUCAGAUGGGACGAAGGUUGUCCGGUGAAUAGCCGAGAUGAUUGACGGUACCGUCAGAAGAAGCUCCGGCUAACUACGUGCCAGCAGCCGCCGUAACAC